GACGAACGCUGGCGGCGUGCUUAACACAUGCAAGUCGAACGGAAAGGCCCUGCUUUUGUGGGGUGCUCGAGUGGCGAACGGGUGAGUAACACGUGAGUAACCUGCCCUUGACUUUGGGAUAACUUCAGGAAACUGGGGCUAAUACCGGAUAGGAGCUCCUGCUGCAUGGUGGGGGUUGGAAAGUUUCGGCGGUUGGGGAUGGACUCGCGGCUUACCAGCUUGUUGGUGGGGUAGUGGCUUACCAAGGCUUUGACGGGUAGCCGGCCUGAGAGAGUGACCGGCCACAUUGGGACUGAGAUACGGCCCAGACUCCUACGGGAGGCAGCAGUGGGGAAUAUUGCACAAUGGGCGGAAGCCUGAUGCAGCAGCGCCGCGUGCGGGAUGACGGCCUUCGGGUUGUAAACCGCUUUCGCCUGUGACGAAGCGUGAGUGACGGUAAUGGGUAAAGAAGCACCGGCUAACUACGUG
Molecule: ribosomal RNA, 468 nt
Filed under: uncultured bacterium
Lineage: Bacteria
Description: partial 16S ribosomal RNA
Rfam family: Bacterial small subunit ribosomal RNA
Source: RNAcentral